Molecule: ribosomal RNA, 565 nt
Filed under: uncultured bacterium
Lineage: Bacteria
Description: bacterial SSU rRNA
Rfam family: Bacterial small subunit ribosomal RNA
Source: RNAcentral
GGAAUAUUGGACAAUGGGGGAAACCCUGAUCCAGCAAUGCCGCGUGUGGGAUGAAGGCCCUCGGGUUGUAAACCACUUUUGGCAGGAAAGAAAUCGCCUGUGCUAAUACCACGGGCGGAUGACGGUACCUGCAGAAUAAGCACCGGCUAACUACGUGCCAGCAGCCGCGGUAAUACGUAGGGUGCGAGCGUUAAUCGGAAUUACUGGGCGUAAAGAGUGCGUAGGCGGUUUUGUAAGACAGAUGUGAAGUCCCCGGGCUUAACCUGGGAACUGCAUUUGUGACUGCAAGACUAGAGUGUGUCAGAGGGAGGUAGAAUUCCGCGUGUAGCAGUGAAAUGCGUAGAGAUGCGGAAGAACACCGAUGGCGAAGGCAGCCUCCUGGGAUAACACUGACGCUCAGGCACGAAAGCGUGGGGAGCAAACAGGAUUAGAUACCCUGGUAGUCCACGCCCUAAACGAUGUCAACUGGUUGUUGGGGAUUCAUUUCCUUAGUAACGUAGCUAACGCGUGAAGUUGACCGCCUGGGGAGUACGGCCGCAAGGUUAAAACUCAAAGGAAUUGACGG